Molecule: ribosomal RNA, 1044 nt
Filed under: uncultured Burkholderia sp.
Lineage: Bacteria; Pseudomonadati; Pseudomonadota; Betaproteobacteria; Burkholderiales; Burkholderiaceae
Description: bacterial SSU rRNA
Rfam family: Bacterial small subunit ribosomal RNA
Source: RNAcentral
GCAGUGGGGAAUUUUGGACAAUGGGCGAAAGCCUGAUCCAGCAAUGCCGCGUGUGUGAAGAAGGCCUUCGGGUUGUAAAGCACUUCUGUCCGGAAAGAAAUCCUUGGCUCUAAUACAGUCGGGGGAUGACGGUACCGGAAGAAUAAGCACCGGCUAACUACGUGCCAGCAGCCGCGGUAAUACGUGGGGUGCGAGCGUUAAUCGGAAUUACUGGGCGUAAAGCGUGCGCAGGCGGUUUGCUAAGACCGAUGUGAAAUCCCCGGGCUCAACCUGGGAACUGCAUUGGUGACUGGCAGGCUAGAGUAUGGCAGAGGGGGGUAGAAUUCCACGUGUAGCAGUGAAAUGCGUAGAGAUGUGGAGGAAUACCGAUGGCGAAGGCAGCCCCCUGGGCCAAUACUGACGCUCAUGCACGAAAGCGUGGGGAGCAAACAGGAUUAGAUACCCUGGUAGUCCACGCCCUAAACGAUGUCAACUAGUUGUUGGGGAUUCAUUUCCUUAGUAACGUAGCUAACGCGCGAAGUUGACCGCCUGGGGAGUACGGUCGCAAGAUUAAAACUCAAAGGAAUUGACGGGGACCCGCACAAGCGGUGGAUGAUGUGGAUUAAUUCGAUGCAACGCGAAAAACCUUACCUACCCUUGACAUGGUCGGAAUCCCGCUGAGAGGUGGGAGUGCUCGAAAGAGAACCGGCGCACAGGUGCUGCAUGGCUGUCGUCAGCUCGUGUCGUGAGAUGUUGGGUUAAGUCCCGCAACGAGCGCAACCCUUGUCCUUAGUUGCUACGCAAGAGCACUCUAAGGAGACUGCCGGUGACAAACCGGAGGAAGGUGGGGAUGACGUCAAGUCCUCAUGGCCCUUAUGGGUAGGGCUUCACACGUCAUACAAUGGUCGGAACAGAGGGUUGCCAACCCGCGAGGGGGAGCUAAUCCCAGAAAACCGAUCGUAGUCCGGAUUGCACUCUGCAACUCGAGUGCAUGAAGCUGGAAUCGCUAGUAAUCGCGGAUCAGCAUGCCACGGUGAAUACGUUCCCGGGCCUUGUACACACCGC